This 329-nucleotide ribosomal RNA is filed under the name uncultured eukaryote. Its description in RNAcentral is "partial 18S ribosomal RNA". It matches the Rfam family "Eukaryotic small subunit ribosomal RNA", at positions 1470 to 1796 of the family's 1831-position model. The record is from RNAcentral.
CCCUUAGAUGUCCUGGGCCGCACGCGCGCUACCCUGAGUGUCUGAGAUACGAGUCUGCCUGGUCCGGCAAGGUCUAGGUAAUCGCUAAAAGACACAUCAUGCUUGGGAUAGAUUAUUGCAAAUAUUAAUCUUGAACGAGGAAUUCCUAGUAAGCGCAAGUCAACAGCUUGCGUUGAUUACGUCCCUGCCCUUUGUACACACCGCCCGUCGCUACUACUGAUUGGAUGUUUAAGCGAGGUUCUCGAACUGCUAGCGACUUAGCUUCGGUGAGGUCGCAGUGUGGGAAGUGAACCUAGCUUUGGUGUCUAGAGGAAGUAAAAGUCGUAACA